This 65-nucleotide microRNA precursor is filed under the name Medicago truncatula (barrel medic). RNAcentral describes it as "MIR5291 microRNA precursor family". It matches the Rfam family "MIR5291 microRNA precursor family". Lineage: Eukaryota; Viridiplantae; Streptophyta; Magnoliopsida; Fabales; Fabaceae. The record is from Rfam by way of RNAcentral.
GAUGGAUCCAAACCAAUCCAUUAACAACUUUUUUUGUUUUAUGGAUGGAUAGGAUGGAUUUUUUA